This 502-nucleotide ribosomal RNA is filed under the name uncultured bacterium. Its description in RNAcentral is "bacterial SSU rRNA". It matches the Rfam family "Bacterial small subunit ribosomal RNA", at positions 28 to 507 of the family's 1533-position model. The record is from RNAcentral.
AACGAACGCUGGCGGCGUGCCUAAGACAUGCAAGUCGAACGGUAAGGCACCUUCGGGUGUACACGAGUGGCGCACGGGUGAGUAACGCGUGGGUAAUCUGCCCCCAGGUCGGGGACAACUUCGGGAAACUGGAGCUAAUACCGGAUGAGCCCACGAGGCCUUCGGGCUUCGCGGGAAAAGGUGGCCUCUCCUUGGAAGCUACCGCCAGGGGAUGAGCCCGCGUCCCAUUAGCUUGUUGGUGAGGUAACGGCUCACCAAGGUGACGAUGGGUAGCUGGUCUGAGAGGAUGAUCAGCCACACUGGAACUGAGACACGGUCCAGACUCCUACGGGAGGCAGCAGUCGGGAAUUUUGGGCAAUGGGCGCAAGCCUGACCCAGCAACGCCGCGUGAGGGAUGAAGGCCCUCGGGUCGUAAACCUCUGUCGGGAGGGAAGAACGUUCUCCGGAUCAAUACCCCGGGGAGCUGACGGUACCUCCAAAGGAAGCACCGGCUAACUCCGUG